Molecule: long non-coding RNA, 341 nt
Filed under: Homo sapiens (human)
Lineage: Eukaryota; Metazoa; Chordata; Mammalia; Primates; Hominidae
Description: inflammatory MKL1 (MRTFA) interacting lncRNA (INKILN)
Source: RNAcentral
CUCUCUUUGCCUGCCACCCUGUAAGAUAUGACUUGCUCCUCCUUGCCUUCCACCCUGUUUGUGAGGCUUCCCUGGUCACAUGGAACUUUGCUUGUUGCAUGCCUUCUAAACAGCCUACCCUGCCAAGUGCCAUGAUUACUGUGACCACAUCUUCAGAACCAGAAAACAGGAUACCUGGCCCUAAGCAUGCACUCAUGGAGCAGAAGAGUUUUAAAUCUGGAAUGCCACAGAAGACAGAAGAUAACAUGCUUACUACACUUGUAAAGCAACAUGCAGCCAGCCAUUUCCAGUGCAAAUUAUCUCAUUGCAUAGUGUGACAACUAAAGGUCAUAACCAUAAUA